GCGCGAAAACUCCACAAUGUACGGAAGUACGAUGGGGUUACCUCGAGUGUAGUCCGAUAAGGAUUGCUUUUCCAUAGAGCAAUAUCCUAUGGGAAUAAGAGGGGGGCAAGACUGGUGUCAGCCGCCGCGGUAACACCAGCCCCUCGAGUGGUGGGGACUUUUAUUUGGCCUAAAGCGUCCGUAGCCGGCUGUAUCCGUCAUCCGUUAAAUCUGGCGUCCUAAGCGUCGGACUGCGGGUGAUACCAAACAGCUAGAGGGUGGGAUAGGUUAGCGGUAUUUCUGGGGUAGGGGCGAAAUCCUUUGAUCCCAGGAGGACCACCAGUGGCGAAGGCUGCUGACUAGAACACGCCUGACGGUCAGGGACGAAAGCUGGGGCAGCGAACCGGAUUAGAUACCCGGGUAGUCCCAGCUGUAAACGAUGCACGCUAGGUGUUGGGUCGGCCAAGUGCCGCCCCAGUGCCGCAGGGAAGCCGUUAAGCGUGCCGCCUGGGGAGUACGGCCGCAAGGCUGAAACUUAAGGAAUUGGCGGGGGAGCACCACC
This 541-nucleotide ribosomal RNA is filed under the name uncultured archaeon. RNAcentral's name for it is "bacterial SSU rRNA". It matches the Rfam family "Archaeal small subunit ribosomal RNA", at positions 339 to 883 of the family's 1478-position model. The record is from RNAcentral.